UGUUCUGGUGGACUGUACGGGCAACCUUCGGGUUGGCCGGUUCGUCUUGUGUCCGGUUUGCUACCCCGUACAGCCUGCCGCCUCC
RNAcentral lists this non-coding RNA (85 nucleotides) under Candidatus Kentrum sp. TUN. Lineage: Bacteria; Pseudomonadati; Pseudomonadota; Gammaproteobacteria. The record is from RNAcentral.